This 253-nucleotide ribosomal RNA is filed under the name uncultured bacterium. RNAcentral's name for it is "partial 16S ribosomal RNA". It matches the Rfam family "Bacterial small subunit ribosomal RNA", at positions 524 to 776 of the family's 1533-position model. The record is from RNAcentral.
GACAGAGGGGGCAAGCGUUGCUCGGAAUUACUGGGCGUAAAGGGCGCGUAGGCGGGAUGGCAAGUCGGUCGUGAAAUCCCUCGGCUCAACUGAGGAGCGUCGAUCGAAACUGCCGUUCUUGAGGGUUGCAGAGGAGACUGGAAUUCCCGGUGUAGCGGUGAAAUGCGUAGAUAUCCGGAGGAACACCGGUGGCGAAGGCGGCUUCCUGGACCGACACUGACGCUGAGGCGCGAAAGCUAGGGGAGCAAACGGG